UAGAAAGGUCAGAAUUUCUCUUGGAAUGGGCUGUAAUUGCAAGCCUCAAGCCCAGAUGUAUGACACUGAAUAUUGUUCACCUUUCUUCCAGGCUUGCAACCAGUUAGAAAAGACUCUCAUAGGAAAGCUAAGUUAAUAAUCUUUAUUAUUAUUGUUAUUUGUAUUUUGAGACCUGCAAUUGCCAAGAGCCCUGAAAUAAUCCAUCUUGUCUCAGCUAUAUCUUCGAGCCUUUUCUUUUUGAGUUCCCCUCUCCUGCUAUCCGUGACAACGAGCCGUGGCCCUCGCUGUCCUCUCCCGGAGCUGUAUUGCUCGAGUGCCCCACACGGUGGCAGAGUGGGUGACAAACUUUCUCCCAAACGGCGAAGUGAGGAAAUGAUCAGCGGGUGAAACCUUUAAAAGAAACAAACGCCAGAUGGACGUAUUCCCUUCAUUUCCACUGGAGAUAUACGACUACGUACACCCUUGGCACGGCUUUGAAACUCUCAUCCAGCAGCAAUGAACACAGCAGGCGAAAAUGUCUUGCAGACAAGGUCAAUGGCUUUUUAAAAUAUCCCUUCUGUCAGAAAGGAAAGCAUGUUGCUGUCUGUCCUGCAGGUACCACUGUGUUCUAUAUCCGUUCCUCCUGGCAGUGCUGGAUUGCUGCCUUGCUGAGCUGAAGGGCUAUAGGCUUCAGAGGCUCAAUGGAUGAUUGAGGCCUUUCUCAUUCUUGCCUGGUCUCUUUUCACUGGUGACAGGUGACAGGAUGAGGGGAAAUGGCCUCAAGUUGUGCCAGGGUAAGUUUAGGUUGGAUAUCAGGAAAAACUUCUUUACAGAAAGAGUGGUUAAGCACUGGAAUAGGCUCCCCAGGGAGAUGGUUGAGUCACCAUCCCUGGAUGUGCUUAAAAACCAUUUGGAUGUGGUGCUCAGGGAUAUGAUUUAGCGGAGGGUUGUUAGGGUAGUAUGGUUAGAAUCGUGGUUGGACUCGAUGAUCUUUAAGGUCUUUUCCAACCUGAGUGAUUCUAUGAUUCUAUUACUUCAUCAAACGACCUUUCCAAUCGGAAUUCUACAAGCCGGCUCCAUACAAACCAAGAACCUCUUCACCACACCUUGCUGCUCCAUAGAGCAAGCUGCCAGGCUGGAAGGCACUCAGCCAUCUGCUGGCACAGCCUCCUGGGAAGACAGAGCUGCAGACAACAAUAACAACAAGGCUGCUCUCCAUGGACUUUUUCAUCAAUGGAGCUCAAAGUGCUUCUCAAAGAAGGUCGGUGUCACUGCCCAUUUGCAGAUGAGGAAAAUGAGGCACAGGAAAGAAGGGAUUUUGUUACAGCCAUCAGCAAGUGAGAGAGCCAUAAAGAGAUCCUCCAUCGAGUACUGUUAAAUUGUCACUCAGCAACCAUAAGUGCAGAUUUUGAAAAAGAACUUGUGACAGGACAUGACUUACUGUCUCAGCAGGGGCUCUUCCCUAAUCUUGCUCUCUGUAUGGCAAAUGGACUCAUUUGAAAGAAAGACACACCUAAUUACACCACAUGGGCCUGGAUAUGAGAUGGAGGUGAUAGAAGAGUGCAUUUGAGCUGGACAAAUGGAGAGAAAGCAAUUCCAAGGGCGGAAAAAGGGGGAAAAGUACAGGAAUAACUGCAUUUAAUAUAGCAAUGUAACAACUGGC
This is a long non-coding RNA of Phasianus colchicus (ring-necked pheasant), 1642 nucleotides long. The record is from Ensembl. NCBI's taxonomy places the organism in Eukaryota, Metazoa, Chordata, Aves, Galliformes, Phasianidae.